RNAcentral lists this long non-coding RNA (333 nucleotides) under Panax ginseng (ginseng). RNAcentral's name for it is "long non-coding RNA (PGIN_LNC006219)". Lineage: Eukaryota; Viridiplantae; Streptophyta; Magnoliopsida; Apiales; Araliaceae. The record is from RNAcentral.
AAGCCAUUUGUGCAUGUGGAUUUACUCAAGUUCUAUGACACCGAUCACGGUCGACGAUCACUAAAUAUUCUCAAAGACUUCUGUGGUGUGUGAUGAUAAUUAUAAAUUUCUGCUGCAUAUCAUUAAGACGAUGGAUAUAUAGGAACUGCGUCGAUCGUACUAUGGUUAUUAAUUAGUAUAAUGUUUGUUAAUUUCAUGCAAAACGUUUAGCUGGGCUUCGUCUUUUACCACUGCUUUACUUGCGUACCUGUGGACGUUUGGGACUUGUAAUCUCUCUCUUUAUUUCUCGAUCCUUGUUUUAAUUUGUUGUUUGUGAAUAAGAGCCAAAUGCUA